RNAcentral lists this ribosomal RNA (253 nucleotides) under uncultured bacterium. RNAcentral describes it as "partial 16S ribosomal RNA". It matches the Rfam family "Bacterial small subunit ribosomal RNA", at positions 524 to 776 of the family's 1533-position model. The record is from RNAcentral.
UACGGGGGGGGCAAGCGUUGUUCGGAAUUACUGGGCGUAAAGCGUGCGCAGGCGGCUAUGCAAGACAGAUGUGAAAGCCCCGGGCUUAACCUGGGAAUGGCAUUUGGGACUGCAAGGCUUGAGUGCGGCAGGGGAGACUGGAAUUCCCGGUGUAGCAGUGAAAUGCGUAGAUAUCGGGAGGAAUACCGAUGGCGAAGGCAGGUCUCUGGGCUGACACUGACGCUCAUGCACGAAAGCGUGGGGAGCAAACAGG